This 484-nucleotide ribosomal RNA is filed under the name uncultured bacterium. RNAcentral's name for it is "partial 16S ribosomal RNA". It matches the Rfam family "Bacterial small subunit ribosomal RNA", at positions 29 to 507 of the family's 1533-position model. The record is from RNAcentral.
AUUGAACGCUGGCGGCAUGCUUUACACAUGCAAGUCGAACGGCAGCGCGGGCUUCGGCCUGGCGGCGAGUGGCGAACGGGUGAGUAAUACAUCGGAACGUGCCCAGUAGUGGGGGAUAGCUCGGCGAAAGCCGGAUUAAUACCGCAUACGACCUGAGGUUGAAAGCGGGGGAUCUUCGGACCUCGCGCUAUUGGAGCGGCCGAUGGCAGAUUAGCUAGUUGGUGGGGUAAAGGCCUACCAAGGCGACGAUCUGUAGCUGGUCUGAGAGGACGACCAGCCACACUGGGACUGAGACACGGCCCAGACUCCUACGGGAGGCAGCAGUGGGGAAUUUUGGACAAUGGGCGAAAGCCUGAUCCAGCAAUGCCGCGUGUGUGAUGAAGGCCUUCGGGUUGUAAAGCACUUUUGGCGGGAACGAAAAGGACUGUGCCAAUACCACGGUUCGAUGACGGUACCCGCAGAAUAAGCACCGGCUAACUACGUG